This 253-nucleotide ribosomal RNA is filed under the name uncultured bacterium. RNAcentral describes it as "partial 16S ribosomal RNA". It matches the Rfam family "Bacterial small subunit ribosomal RNA", at positions 524 to 776 of the family's 1533-position model. The record is from RNAcentral.
GACAGAGGUGCCGAGCGUUAGGCGGAAUCACUGGGCUUAAAGCGUGUGUAGGCGGGCCGUUAAGUAUCUUGUGAAAUCCCCCGGCUCAACCGGGGAAUGGCUGGAUAUACUGGCGGUCUUGAGCGAUCUAGGGGCAGAUGGAACAAGUGGUGGAGCGGUGAAAUGCGCAGAUAUCAGGAGGAACACCAAUGGCGAAGGCAGCUCGCUGGGACGGUACUGACGCUGAGACGCGAAAGCGUGGGGAGCAAACAGG